This is a long non-coding RNA of Diospyros lotus (date-plum), 1127 nucleotides long. RefSeq lists it as uncharacterized. NCBI's taxonomy places the organism in Eukaryota, Viridiplantae, Streptophyta, Magnoliopsida, Ericales, Ebenaceae. The transcript is spliced from 3 exons. The record is from RefSeq and is a predicted model, not a curated record.
CCCAGGUGGGCCAAAGUGAUGAAUGGUUUGUAAAGAUCAUGAUGAGAUGUUAUAAUAAAGAAAAAUUAUGAUUUCUAAAAGGAUUAUGUGUGUGUUGUAGGUGCGUCAUUGUUUGAUAUCAUUUUAAUAAUGACCCUCUCAUGGAUCCUCUCUGUGCACGAGGAGGCUCCGGGAGGCGGGCCGUUACAAUUUCGCUCUCACUCUCGCUCUCUACUUGUGGUCUGGUCGUUGCAGCGUUCCCUCUUUUUCUUUCUCACUCUCGGCUUUGGUUCGGACAGCUCAGUGACCGGCGGUUGCUAUUGUGCAGGCUACCGCUGCCUCUCUCUCGCUCUCGCUCACUACCACUGGUGUUAGUCAUAGAAUGCCCUUGGAGGACUUGCCAAAUGGAGUGUGGUAGUGGAAUCGCUACUAUAGGAAUUUGGGCAAUUCCUUAAAGACGCUCAAUGAAAAGCAAGAGAGGUUCAGAAUCGAGAUGGAUUGGGCUUGCUAGCUUCUACCAGUGUCCUUCCAGCCCAUCUUGGCUUGGGGAACCUGACGGGAUGCAGAGCCCAUAUUCUUUGGCAUGUAGAUAAAUGAAUGGAACUUGAUUAACCAGUGCUGCCCUUUGCCUCAAGAUAAAUGCAAUCCUCCUUUCUCCCCCCCCCUGCCCGAUCUUCUCUUCUCCCAUCAGUCAAUUGUGAAGACGUAUCUGGAAAAUGAUACAAGGGACCAAUGAAUGUUUUACUAGGAAGAUUAAUAUCAAUUUUGGUGUCGUAUCUUUUUGUCAAGUAAUCGGCUUCUUCAUUUGUUCUUUUUGUCCUGAAGGUUGAUCAAAAUCUUCAUUUUUGGAGGUGCCUGUUUAUUAUAAAGAACUGACGGUGGAUGGAUAGAACUCUUACACGUAACAUGCCCGAGCAAAAAUUGACAUAAAUAGCCAUCUCAUACGGGGAGAUGCAUUAAAGGACAGUUUAAACAUGGAAGUGUAAUCUGUUGAGGCUUCCAAUCUUGUUGCUUAAUUGGAAACCCAUUUAUAAUUUUGUUGUCGGCAAAGCUGUUAUGGAUUUGUUAUGUGGCUUCGAAGAUGAGUAUUUCCAAACCCUAUUGGAUUUGUCUUGUUGGCCGUGCCGAGAAACUGGCCAUCUGCACAG